Molecule: ribosomal RNA, 454 nt
Filed under: uncultured bacterium
Lineage: Bacteria
Description: bacterial SSU rRNA
Rfam family: Bacterial small subunit ribosomal RNA
Source: RNAcentral
AAUACCUUUGCUCAUUGACGKUACCCGCAGAAGAAGCACCGGCUAACUCCGUGCCAGCAGCCGCGUGUAAUACGGUAGGGUGCAAGCGUUAAUCGGAAUUACUGGGCGUAAAGCGCACGCAGGCGGUUUGUUAAGUCAGAUGUGAAAUCCCCGGGCUCAACCUGGGAACUGCAUCUGAUACUGGCAAGCUUGAGUCUCGUAGAGGGGGGUAGAAUUCCAGGUGUAGCGGUGAAAUGCGUAGAGAUCUGGAGGAAUACCGGUGGCGAAGGCGGCCCCCUGGACGAAGACUGACGCUCAGGUGCGAAAGCGUGGGGAGCAAACAGGAUUAGAUACCCUGGUAGUCCACGCCGUAAACGAUGUCGACUUGGAGGUUGUGCCCUUGAGGCGUGGCUUCCGGAGCUAACGCGUUAAGUCGACCGCCUGGGGAGUACGGCCGCAAGGUUAAAACUCAAUG